AACGAACGCUGGCGGCGUGCCUAACACAUGCAAGUCGAGCGCGAAAAGAGCAAUCUGAGUAGAGCGGCGCACGGGUGCGUAACACGUGGGUAAUCUGCCUCAAGGUCUGGGAUAACCUUCCGAAAGGUUGGCUAAUACCAGGUAAGCUCAAGGUGACUUCGGUCGCUGAGAGAAAAGGGGCCCGAAAGGGUCUCGCCAUGAGAUGAGCCCGCGGCCCAUCAGCUAGNGGUGAGGUAACGGCCCACCAAGGCUACGACGGGUAGCUGGUCUGAGAGGACGAUCAGCCACACUGGAACUGAGACACGGUCCAGACUCCUACGGGAGGCAGCAGUGGGGAAUUUUGCACAAUGGGCGAAAGCCUGAUGCAGCAACGCCGCGUGUGUGAUGAAGGUCUUCGGAUCGUAAAGCACUUUCGACC
Molecule: ribosomal RNA, 418 nt
Filed under: uncultured bacterium
Lineage: Bacteria
Description: bacterial SSU rRNA
Rfam family: Bacterial small subunit ribosomal RNA
Source: RNAcentral